UACAGAGGGGGCAAGCGUUGUUCGGAAUUACUGGGCGUAAAGGGCGCGUAGGCGGCCCGCUAAGUCGAACGUGAAAUCCCCGAGCUCAACUCGGGAACUGCGUCCGAUACUGGCGGGCUUGAAUCUGGGAGAGGGAUGCGGAAUUCCAGGUGUAGCGGUGAAAUGCGUAGAUAUCUGGAGGAACACCGAUGGCGAAGGCAGCCUUCUGGGCCAACACUGACGCUCAUGCACGAAAGCGUGGGGAGCAAACAGG
This 253-nucleotide ribosomal RNA is filed under the name uncultured bacterium. RNAcentral describes it as "partial 16S ribosomal RNA". It matches the Rfam family "Bacterial small subunit ribosomal RNA", at positions 524 to 776 of the family's 1533-position model. The record is from RNAcentral.